GGUCUCACUUCUGAGGCCAGAGAGCUUGUCACUUUUAAGCAUCUCGAGUCAUAGAUCAAUUUCUCUUUGGUCUUUGGUCUCUCUUCUAUCUUCUUUUCUCUUCGUCCUGGGUGAACCUACUUUAGAGAAGUGGAUAGGGUCAUCCAAAUGGAGUAGGAAGAGCUUCCCAACUCGACCUCCUCUGGUCGCCAAGAAUCGAGGUAGCUUGCCAUAGUCUCCGAGCGGCCUUAUAACCAGCUCGAUUUAGACUCUGACCCAUUUACUCCUACUCACUCAACCCUUGUCGACCUACAAAAGAUCCAACUUUUGUAUGGGAUCUCUGAGGCUUACCGGUUUAGGCUCCCCACACCAAACGAGGCCCUGUGGCACCACAGUGAGAACAAGGUCUGCGUGUACAAGCAAGACUAUGAGGCAGGGUUGAGGUUCCCUCUCUCGUACAUGAUUACCGAUGUCCUGAAUUAUCUUAGGAUUAUUCUUGGGCAGCUCUCCGUGAAUGCAUUCGUAAUAGUUGUGGGGGCUGCCUUGGCUGGUCACGUGCACGGGCUCUUAAUCAACAUUAGGGUCUUCGAGAGCCUACACUCAGUCAAGUGUCACCCCGAGCAAAAGACACAUUACGAGCAGGCUCCCCCUUUGGGAGUUCUUCAAAUAGAAGAGGUGUCGAUGUCUGCAGCCCGUGGUACCCAAGUUCCCUAAGCUCACCCAUCUUCCAUAACGUCAGAAGGAGCUAGGUUCUUGACAGUUCGAGGUGAGGGGAACGUGUAUGUGCCCCCCGAGAAAACGCCGAUUUGAGACCACAAGUGGUCGGUGCAUCGCGACGGCAAUGUCCAUAACCACACGAUUACCUGCGAGCUGAGUUGGGGCUUUGUUCUGCCCACGUCUUGGGAAGAAUUUCAGGAACUUCCCUUAAAAGUCCUUGGCACCCAUAUCUUCAAGUAUAUAAUGAAGGCCAAUGCUAUUGCCCAGGGGAUCUUCCAACGAGCCAGUAGUCACCUGGAGCGGAUCAAGGGCAUUUCCCUAAUCAAAGAGGGGUACAUUGCCGAGGUCAAUAAAGCCCUUACGGAGAAGACCCCGACCUGUGGUCAUUGGGCAUCAGAUAGCCUUGAUGUAGGUGUCGAAGCAACAGGCCCAGAUCGAUGUGUAGCGAACCUGGAUCAGUGAGUAAAAUGCCUAGAUCAAGGAACGACAAACUUAGCUUGAGGAGUGUCAAGCUUGGAUUGAAGAACUUUUGGCCAAGCUAGAGAAGGAGAGAGACUAGAGGGCUAAGGAGACGAGGGCUCGGGAUGAGCUACUGGUUACAUCUUGAAAGGAGGCAAUUGACUCCUUCAAGGAAUCCCAAGAGUUCCUUGCCUAUGGACAAUAUGAGAAUAGUCUAACUUCAGAACACAUCCCCAUUAAAGGAACAUGAGAAUAGUGGUCCUCUAGAUUUGAAGUACAAACACACAUGACCUUAUGCGUACAGAUGUAUGUAGUCCUCUAAAUGUUAGUAUGCAUAACCAAUAUUCAUAUUUUAUAACAUUUAUUGAUGGUUAUUUUCGA
This is a long non-coding RNA of Nelumbo nucifera (sacred lotus), 1536 nucleotides long. RefSeq lists it as uncharacterized. The record is from RefSeq and is a predicted model, not a curated record. Lineage: Eukaryota; Viridiplantae; Streptophyta; Magnoliopsida; Proteales; Nelumbonaceae.